GAUGAACGCUGGCGGCGUGCCUAAUACAUGCAAGUCGAGCGAACGGACGAGAAGCUUGCUUCUCUGAUGUUAGCGGCGGACGGGUGAGUAACACGUGGAUAACCUACCUAUAAGACUGGGAUAACUUCGGGAAACCGGAGCUAAUACCGGAUGAUAUUUUGAACCGCAUGGUUCAAAAGUGAAAGACGGUCUUGCUGUCACUUAUAUAUGGAUCCGCGCUGCAUUAGCUAGUUGGUAAGGUAAUGGCUUACCAAGGCAACGAUGCAUAGCCGACCUGAGAGGGUGAUCGGCCACACUGGAACUGAGACACGGUCCAGACUCCUACGGGAGGCAGCAGUAGGGAAUCUUCCGCAAUGGGCGAAAGCCUGACGGAGCAACGCCGCGUGAGUGAUGAAGGUCUUCGGAUCGUAAAACUCUGUUAUUAGGGAAGAACAUAUGUGUAAGUAACUGUGCACAUCUUGACGGUACCUAAUCAGAAAGCCACGGCUAACUACGUG
This 497-nucleotide ribosomal RNA is filed under the name uncultured bacterium. Its description in RNAcentral is "partial 16S ribosomal RNA". It matches the Rfam family "Bacterial small subunit ribosomal RNA", at positions 28 to 507 of the family's 1533-position model. The record is from RNAcentral.